CCGGCACGGGUGAGUAACACGUAUCCAACCUGCCGUCUACUCUUGGCCAGCCUUCUGAGAGGAAGAUUAAUCCAGGAUGGGAUCAUGAGUUCACAUGUCCGCAUGAUUAAAGGUAUUUUCCGGUAGACGAUGGGGAUGCGUUCCAUUAGAUAGUAGGCGGGGUAACGGCCCACCUAGUCAACGAUGGAUAGGGGUUCUGAGAGGAAGGUCCCCCACAUUGGAACUGAGACACGGUCCAA
This 239-nucleotide ribosomal RNA is filed under the name uncultured bacterium. RNAcentral describes it as "partial 16S ribosomal RNA". It matches the Rfam family "Bacterial small subunit ribosomal RNA", at positions 100 to 334 of the family's 1533-position model. The record is from RNAcentral.